GAGAGCCAUUCUGAUUAAGUAUCGGCUAUAAGUGUAGAGUUGCGGCGUCCGCAGCAACUCACAACGUUCCCCCUCGUUUCUUUUGUUUCUUUAUUUUCCGCGCGUACCGAACGUAAUUCGGUUCUGCCGACCGUGCGCAGUAGCAGAGAACUUCGUUUUAUCUUUUCGUCUUUGCGCCUGCGUCGACAGAACUCUUUUUCUUUCUUCGCUUUGCAUUUGCUAUUUGCAAUCGUCAAAUUGUGCGCAAACGAAGCGAAAGUGCUGUGAAUUUUAUUAUUAUCAGCGGCGGUGAAGAUGAAAAUACCCAACGAGCCAGCAGAUAAAGUGAUCAGGAAGGCUAUUCACAAUAUUAAGAAUAGCUAUUUUCAAAAGGGCGCAAGGGACAAAAAAUACAAAGCUCUGGCAUCCUUAGACAAUAAUUAAUAAUAAUUUUUAAUAAAUAAAACUAAUUGGAA
Molecule: long non-coding RNA, 455 nt
Organism: Drosophila miranda
Lineage: Eukaryota; Metazoa; Arthropoda; Insecta; Diptera; Drosophilidae
Exons: 2
Source: RefSeq, a predicted model, not a curated record